This 1135-nucleotide ribosomal RNA is filed under the name Escherichia coli. RNAcentral describes it as "bacterial SSU rRNA". It matches the Rfam family "Bacterial small subunit ribosomal RNA", at positions 8 to 1133 of the family's 1533-position model. Lineage: Bacteria; Pseudomonadati; Pseudomonadota; Gammaproteobacteria; Enterobacterales; Enterobacteriaceae. The record is from RNAcentral.
AGAGUUUGAUCAUGGCUCAGAUUGAACGCUGGCGGCAGGCCUAACACAUGCAAGUCGAACGGUAACAGGAAGCAGCUUGCUGCUUCGCUGACGAGUGGCGGACGGGUGAGUAAUGUCUGGGAAACUGCCUGAUGGAGGGGGAUAACUACUGGAAACGGUAGCUAAUACCGCAUAAUGUCGCAAGACCAAAGAGGGGGACCUUCGGGCCUCUUGCCAUUGGAUGUGCCCAGGUGGGAUUAGCUUGUUGGUGGGGUAACGGCUCACCAAGGCGACGAUCCCUAGCUGGUCUGAGAGGAUGACCAGCCACACUGGAACUGAGACACGGUCCAGACUCCUACGGGAGGCAGCAGUGGGGAAUAUUGCACAAUGGGCGCAAGCCUGAUGCAGCCAUGCCGCGUGUAUGAAGAAGGCCUUCGGGUUGUAAAGUACUUUCAGCGGGGAGGAAGGGAGUAAAGUUAAUACCUUUGCUCAUUGACGUUACCCGCAGAAGAAGCACCGGCUAACUCCGUGCCAGCAGCCGCGGUAAUACGGAGGGUGCAAGCGUUAAUCGGAAUUACUGGGCGUAAAGCGCACGCAGGCGGUUUGUUAAGUCAGAUGUGAAAUCCCCGGGCUCAACCUGGGAACUGCAUCUGAUACUGGCAAGCUUGAGUCUCGUAGAGGGGGGUGGAAUUCCAGGUGUAGCGGUGAAAUGCGUAGAGAUCUGGAGGAAUACCGGUGGCGAAGGCGGCCCCCUGGACGAAGACUGACGCUCAGGUGCGAAAGCGUGGGGAGCAAACAGGAUUAGAUACCCUGGUAGUCCACGCCGUAAACGAUGUCGACUUGGAGGUUGUGCCCUUGAGGCGUGGCUUCCGGAGCUAACGCGUUAAGUCGACCGCCUGGGGAGUACGGCCGCAAGGUUAAAACUCAAAUGAAUUGACGGGGGCCCGCACAAGCGGUGGAGCAUGUGGUUUAAUUCGAUGCAACGCGAAGAACCUUACCUGGUCUUGACAUCCACAGAACUUUCCAGAGAUGGAUUGGUGCCUUCGGGAACUGUGAGACAGGUGCUGCAUGGCUGUCGUCAGCUCGUGUUGUGAAAUGUUGGGUUAAGUCCCGCAACGAGCGCAACCCUUAUCCUUUGUUGCCAGCGGUCCGGCCG